UGCCUACCCUACUUGCCGCACAUCUGCCAGGGUAACCACCGUUCUGACGUGCAACAGUGUGGAUUAGUUUUGCCUGUUUUUACCAUUUAAAUCUGGAGUCAUACAGUGUGCAGUUGUGUGUCUCUUUUAUGCAAUGUUUGUGAGAGUUAUCAAUAUUGCAAGUUCUUGUCGAUAUUUUCAUUGCUGUAUAGUAUUCUGUUACAUACAAUGUGACUAUAACACUGUCUAUUCAACUCCUGAUGCACAUAGGGUAGUUCCUAGAUUUUUGUUAUGUAUAAUGCUGCUAUGAAUACUACAGUAUGGAUUUUAGUCAGUGACAUUUAUUUUAAUAUGCUCUGACAAUUAUUUGACAUAGGACUUUCCGAUGGAUUCUGGUGACUAGCAGUAUCCUAAAACUUUAAGGAUGCUCUAAGACUCAUUUGGAGAACUUUGGAAAUUUUGAGUCAACAGUUUUGGGACAUCAGAAGAGAGAAGGCUUAUGUUUAUGUUGAUUGCAAAUGUUUUGGAAGUCUUUGGAGAGCUGCUGGGCAUGUAUCCUUGGAAGUAAAUCUUGCCUUUCAUCAUAAUUUGAGGACUCUCCUCCAAAGGAUAGGGAUUAGAACUAGCAUUCCACUUAAGGCAGAGUGACUCAAGUACGGUCAUGAACUCACGAACUCACCCAAGAAUAUUUAAAGUUUUGUGAUUUGAACUCAAAAUGGUCAUUGUGAUCACAGCCCGUAUAAAAAUAAUACUUAGAGAGGUUAUUGCUCUCUGGAUCUGGGAAUUGAA
Molecule: long non-coding RNA, 768 nt
Filed under: Homo sapiens (human)
Lineage: Eukaryota; Metazoa; Chordata; Mammalia; Primates; Hominidae
Description: HSALNT0050428
Source: RNAcentral